This is a long non-coding RNA of Acipenser ruthenus (sterlet), 1050 nucleotides long. RefSeq lists it as uncharacterized. The record is from RefSeq and is a predicted model, not a curated record. Lineage: Eukaryota; Metazoa; Chordata; Actinopteri; Acipenseriformes; Acipenseridae. The transcript has 4 exons.
AACUGUUCGGGAAACAUAGAAAUAAUUAAUAAUUUUGAAGAAGCAAGCAACAUAACAACAACCCUGAAUCAGCGGUGAAAAGUAAAAAUGUCUAAUUCUAAAUUGAAGAGGAGAAGGGUCGACGAUGAAGCAAGAAAGUUCCAAGAACAGUGUACUGAAAAUGAUUUCUUUGUGGAAUAUGAAGAUGUAGCCCCUGCAAUGGUAGGUUCGCACAAUGGACUCGUUGCUCGUAUCAGGAAAAAAGGAGGCGAUUGACAUCUUUGUGAAAGAGAAGGGAAUGCAAGGGGAGGAUCUGUCUGAUCAUCAGUGAGUUAUGGAUCGUGCCUUUUUGGUUAACCAUAACACGAAAUUACAGGGCAAAAACCAUGUGAUUUCCCAUUUGUAUGAUGCUGUCAUAGACUUUGAAACCAAGCUUAAACUUUUUGCCAUGCAGUUACAGAAAUCCAACUGUGUACAUUCCCUUCCCUCAAAGAAUUCGCUGACAAAAAUGCAACUCUCGGAACACACAAACUAUGGAAGAUAUGAAGAAUACGUGCUGAGUCAUCUGGCUGCGUUCCAAGGCAGGCUUCUGGUCUUCAAAUCCAAAGAAAACAACAUCCAUGUAUUUUACAAUGCCAUUUUCUGUAACUUAAAGACUUGCCUGAAAAGUUUCAGCUUGAAUUAAUUGAACUGCAGUGAUCUAUGGAGCUAAAGGACACAUUUAAUAAAGUUGCCCUGCUGGAGUUUUAUGCUAGUUAAGAUGCCCGCUUUCCUAACCUGAAACAGCAUGCACAGAGAAUAUUCACUGCAUUUGGAAGCACAUACAUUCAUGAACAAACAUUUUCUCUGAUGAAAGUCAACAAAUCCCAGCACAGAAUCUGUCUCUGAUACUCACCAGAGAGAUGUUUUGACUGUUUCAGUGUCUAAUCUGAAGGCUGAUGUCAAACAAAAAAGUCUCACUGAAAAGUUAGGUGAGUACUCUUGAAUUUCAUGUUCAUUUUCAUUUUAAAUUUGUAUUUAUUAAACACUUUGAAAUGCUUAGUUUCUAAGAUUGUUAGAAACAGUAACUAA